Molecule: transfer RNA, 70 nt
Filed under: Mekongiella kingdoni
Lineage: Eukaryota; Metazoa; Arthropoda; Insecta; Orthoptera; Pyrgomorphidae
Description: tRNA-Val
Source: RNAcentral
CAAGGUAGAUUUAUUAGUAAAGUAUUUCAUUUACACUGGAGUUGAUUCUGUGCAAUUCAGGAUGCCUUGA